RNAcentral lists this ribosomal RNA (633 nucleotides) under uncultured bacterium. RNAcentral describes it as "bacterial SSU rRNA". It matches the Rfam family "Bacterial small subunit ribosomal RNA", at positions 126 to 773 of the family's 1533-position model. The record is from RNAcentral.
UUGCCUCUUGGACUGGGACAACUGUUGGAAACGACAGCUAAUACCGGAUAUUAUGAGAUUCUCGCAUGAGAAACUUAUGAAAGCUAUAUGCGCCAAGAGAGAGCCUUGCGUUCCAUUAGCUAGUUGGUGGGGUAACGGCCCACCAAGGCGACGAUGGAUAGCCGGCCUGAGAGGGUGAACGGCCACAAGGGGACUGAGACACGGCCCUUACUCCUACGGGAGGCAGCAGUGGGGAAUAUUGGACAAUGGGCCACAAGCCUGAUCCAGCAAUUCUGUGUGCACGAUGAAGGUCUUCGGAUUGUAAAGUGCUUUCAGUUGGGAAGAAGAAAGUGACGGUACCAACAGAAGAAGCGACGGCUAAAUACAUGCCAGCAGCCGCGGUAAUACGUAUGUCGCAAGCGUUAUCCGGAUUUAUUGGGCGUAAAGCGCGUCUAGGCGGAAAAAUAAGUCUGAUGUUAAAAUGCGGGGCUCAACUCCGUAUUGCGUUGGAAACUGUUUUUCUAGAGUACUGGAGAGGUGGGCGGAACUACAAGUGUAGAGGUGAAAUUCGUAGAUAUUUGUAGGAAUGCCGAUGGAGAAGUCAGCUCACUGGACAGAUACUGACGCUGAAGCGCGAAAGCGUGGGGAGCAAAC